AGUAGCGAAGUUCCUGAUGUCACACUGCCAAGAAAAGCUUCUAGUGAGAAAGUAACUGCCCGUACCGCAAACCGACACAGGUAGUUGAGGAGAGAAUCCUAAGGUGUGCGAGAGAACUCUCGUUAAGGAACUCGGCAAAAUGACCCCGUAACUUCGGGAGAAGGGGUGCUGACCGCAAGGUCAGCCGCAGUGAAUAGGCCCAAGCGACUGUUUAUCAAAAACACAGGUCUCUGCAAAAUCGAAAGAUGACGUAUAGGGGCUGACGCCUGCCCGGUGCUGGAAGGUUAAGAGGAGAGGUUAGCGUAAGCGAAGCUUUGAAUUGAAGCCCCAGUAAACGGCGGCCGUAACAAUAACGGUCCUAAGGUAGCGAAAUUCCUCGUCGGGUAAGUUCCGACCCGCACGAAAGGCGUAACGAUUUGGGCACUGUCUCAACGAGAGACUCGGUGAAAUUAUAGUACCAGUGAAGAUGCUGGUUACCCGCGACAGGACGGAAAGACCCCAUGGAGCUUUACUGCAGUUUGAUAUUGCGUGUUUGUAUCACAUGUACAGGAUAGGUAGGAGCCGAAGAUACCGGGACGCCAGUCUCGGAGGAGGCAACGGUGGGAUACUACCCUUGUGAUAUGACCACUCUAACCCGCUGCUCUUAGCGAGCAGGGAGACAGUGUCAGACGGGCAGUUUGACUGGGGCGGUCGCCUCCAAAAAUGUAACGGAGGCGCCCAAAGGUUCCCUCAGAAUGGUUAGAAAUCAUUCGUAGAGUGUAAAGGCAGAAGGGAGCUUGACUGCGAGACCUACAAGUCGAGCAGGGACGAAAGUCGGGCUUAGUGAUCCGGUGGUUCCGCAUGGAAGGGCCAUCGCUCAACGGAUAAAAGCUACCCUGGGGAUAACAGGCUUAUCUCCCCCAAGAGUUCACAUCGACGGGGAGGUUUGGCACCUCGAUGUCGGCUCAUCGCAUCCUGGGGCUGUAGUCGGUCCCAAGGGUUGGGCUGUUCGCCCAUUAAAGCGGUACGCGAGCUGGGUUCAGAACGUCGUGAGACAGUUCGGUCCCUAUCCGUCGCGGGCGUUGGAAAUUUGAGAGGAGCUGUCCUUAGUACGAGAGGACCGGGAUGGACACACCGCUGGUGUACCAGUUGUUCUGCCAAGAGCAUCGCUGGGUAGCUAUGUGUGGACGGGAUAAACGCUGAAAGCAUCUAAGCGUGAAGCCCCCCUCAAGAUGAGAUUUCCCAUCACUUUAAGUGAGUAAGACCCCUGAGAGAUGAUCAGGUAGAUAGGCUGGGAGUGGAAGUACAGCGAUGUAUGGAGCGGACCAAUAUUAAUCGGUCGAGGACUUAACCU
This 1333-nucleotide ribosomal RNA is filed under the name metagenome. RNAcentral's name for it is "bacterial LSU rRNA". It matches the Rfam family "Bacterial large subunit ribosomal RNA", at positions 1581 to 2925 of the family's 2925-position model. The record is from RNAcentral.